GAAGAAGACGAAGAUGACGUUGAUGGUGAGUUAUGUAUCAGAGAUUCAGAGCAAGCCCUAACCCUAGAUUUCAAUAAUGUCAUCCAAGCAAGGUUCUGCACAAUUGUUCUUCUCCAUGGUUUUUGUUUACAUGAAUUUUGAAAUUUUACUAAAGUUAGUAUGUUAUGUCUCUGUUAUAAUUUGAUUUAUCAAAAAAAAAAAAAACAUCUUGCUGCAAAGGUGGAAAAGUGAAGCCACUAAAGCAACCAAAGGCUGAAAUGAAAGAAUACAAUGAGAUCUGUGUCGCGAUGGUGGAGCUUUUCAAGGGUGGGGUAGAUUGAUGAGGUUUCGUAAGUGGAGAUUCUGACGAUCUAGGGCUUAAACAAGCUUUCUACAGAAAUCCAGCAACGACGUAUGAUGUCAAGUUAUGAAUUAAUCAUCGAUUAGGAAAAAGAAGUAGAACUUCUUAUGCCAAACAAGGAAUUAUACGAGGAAAAAGAGCACUUAUCACUGGGUACAUAAAAGUUCUGUUGAACUGUUACU
Long non-coding RNA from Helianthus annuus (common sunflower), 522 nucleotides. RefSeq lists it as uncharacterized. The transcript has 4 exons. NCBI's taxonomy places the organism in Eukaryota, Viridiplantae, Streptophyta, Magnoliopsida, Asterales, Asteraceae. The record is from RefSeq and is a predicted model, not a curated record.